GUUGUACUCCCUCCGUCCGGAAAUACUUGUCAUGAAAAUGGAUAAAGAGGGGUGUAUCUAGAACUAAAAUACAUCUAGAUACAUCAUCUUUUAUUCAGCUUGAUGACAAGUAUUUCCGGACGGAGGGAGUAUUUU
Non-coding RNA from Triticum aestivum (bread wheat), 135 nucleotides. The record is from Rfam. Lineage: Eukaryota; Viridiplantae; Streptophyta; Magnoliopsida; Poales; Poaceae.